GACAGAGGGUGCAAACGUUGCUCGGAAUCACUGGGCGUAAAGGGCGUGUAGGCGGGAAGGAUAGUCAGAUGUGAAAGCCCUGGGCUCAACCCAGGAACUGCAUUUGAAACUCCCUUUCUUGAGUGUCGGAGAGGAAAGCGGAAUUCCUGGUGUAGAGGUGAAAUUCGUAGAUAUCAGGAGGAACACCGGUGGCGAAGGCGGCUUUCUGGACAGUAACUGACGCUGAGACGCGAAAGCGUGGGGAGCAAACAGG
This 253-nucleotide ribosomal RNA is filed under the name uncultured bacterium. RNAcentral describes it as "partial 16S ribosomal RNA". It matches the Rfam family "Bacterial small subunit ribosomal RNA", at positions 524 to 776 of the family's 1533-position model. The record is from RNAcentral.